GGAAUCUUCCACAAUGGACGCAAGUCUGAUGGAGCAACGCCGCGUGAGUGAAGAAGGUCUUCGGAUCGUAAAACUCUGUUGUUAGAAAAGAACACGAGUGAGAGUAACUGUUCAUUCGAUGACGGUAUCUAACCAGCAAGUCACGGCUAACUACGUGCCAG
This 161-nucleotide ribosomal RNA is filed under the name uncultured bacterium. RNAcentral's name for it is "partial 16S rRNA". It matches the Rfam family "Bacterial small subunit ribosomal RNA", at positions 358 to 511 of the family's 1533-position model. The record is from RNAcentral.